GAUGAACGCUGGCGGCGUGCCUAAUACAUGCAAGUCGAGCGAACGGACGAGAAGCUUUCGUCUCUGAUGUUAGCGGCGGACGGGUGAGUAACACGUGGAUAACCUACCUAUAAGACUGGGAUAACUUCGGGAAACCGGAGCUAAUACCGGAUAAUAUUUUGAACCGCAUGGUUCAAAAGUGAAAGACGGUCUUGCGGUCACUUAUAGAUGGAUCCGCGCUGCAUUAGCUAGUUGGUAAGGUAACGGCUUACCAAGGCAACGAUGCAUAGCCGACCUGAUGGGGUGAUCGGCCACACUGGAACUGGGACACGGUCCAGACGCCUACGGGAGGCAGCAGUAGGGAAGCUUCCGCAAUGGGCGAAAGCCUGACGGAGAAACGCCGCGUGAGUGAUGACGAUCUUCGGAUCGUAAAACUCUGUUAUUAGGGAAGAACGUAUGUGUAAGUAACUGUGCACAUCUUGACGGUACCUAAUCAGAAAGCCACGGCUAACUUCGUG
This 497-nucleotide ribosomal RNA is filed under the name uncultured bacterium. RNAcentral describes it as "partial 16S ribosomal RNA". It matches the Rfam family "Bacterial small subunit ribosomal RNA", at positions 28 to 507 of the family's 1533-position model. The record is from RNAcentral.